ACAACAGCGAUGACGAAGAAACGCUGUGAUUGAGAAAUCCCCAGAGAGCCGAUGGUUGCUGCGAAUCGGCGAUUUCUCCCACGGUUAAGCACUUCUGAGCUGCUGCGUUGAAAAUGGAUUCACCAUCCAAGUAGACGCAAACGGUAGAACCGUUAUCUCUUUUAGGUCAUGUACCUACCAAGGCUCUUUUUUGAGAAAAAAGGAGCGAAUGAGGGUGGCACCGCGAAGCAAAGCCUCUCGUCCCUCAC
Molecule: non-coding RNA, 248 nt
Filed under: Brevibacillus brevis
Lineage: Bacteria; Bacillati; Bacillota; Bacilli; Caryophanales; Paenibacillaceae
Description: T-box sequence
Rfam family: T-box leader
About the family: Uncharged tRNA acts as the effector for transcription antitermination of genes in the T-box leader family. T-boxes are found upstream of many aminoacyl-tRNA synthetase genes and some amino acid biosynthetic genes usually in Gram-positive bacteria. The anticodon of a specific tRNA base pairs to a specifier sequence within the T-box motif, and the NCCA acceptor tail of the tRNA base pairs to a conserved bulge in the T-box antiterminator hairpin.
Source: RNAcentral